CCCGGAGCUCAUGAGCAGGUUUCCUUGCGCAGGGAACUGAAGCAAAGAAGCGCUCCGGCACUGCUCUCCUGCCGCUCAGGGAUGUCCAAUCUGCAGGGUUACAAUGUUUUAAGGUGGAGAGUGGAGGAUGCAGUACACAACCAAUCUUUAAUGUCCAAGUCCCGGAGCUGGCUGAGGAACCCUGAAUUUGGGCAGAUGUCUCUGUGAGCACUCACUGUUUUCAGAGCAUCCACGAGUGUCAUGUUUUC
This is a long non-coding RNA of Harpia harpyja (harpy eagle), 248 nucleotides long. RefSeq lists it as uncharacterized. The transcript is spliced from 3 exons. Lineage: Eukaryota; Metazoa; Chordata; Aves; Accipitriformes; Accipitridae. The record is from RefSeq and is a predicted model, not a curated record.